UACCUCAAGGUGAGGUAGACGGUUGUGCUCGUGCGGCCGGUGUGCAUAGGCAAGAGUUGCCUAAUACUGGACUUAGUAUGGAACGCUAUAGAGGCGUAUGACGUUCGAGUAUAGGUACUCGUGGAGUGCGGAUAUGGAUAAGCCAAGUGAGUGUGUUGGCAAUAGCACUUGAGCAUUGCUAGGUGCGAAGCGUGCCAAGGAUCACUCGUGGGACUGAUGA
Molecule: long non-coding RNA, 220 nt
Filed under: Ananas comosus (pineapple)
Lineage: Eukaryota; Viridiplantae; Streptophyta; Magnoliopsida; Poales; Bromeliaceae
Description: long non-coding RNA (ACOM_LNC036494)
Source: RNAcentral